Homo sapiens (human) is the source of this 4294-nucleotide long non-coding RNA. RefSeq lists it as uncharacterized. The record is from RefSeq and is a predicted model, not a curated record. NCBI's taxonomy places the organism in Eukaryota, Metazoa, Chordata, Mammalia, Primates, Hominidae. The transcript has 4 exons.
UUUUUUUUUUUUUUGAGACGGAGUCUCGCUCUGUCGCCCAAGCCGGACUGCGGACUGCAGUGGCGCAAUCUCGGCUCACUGCAAGCUCCGCUUCCCGGGUUCACGCCAUUCUCCUGCCUCAGCCUCCCGAGUAGCUGGGACUACAGGCGCCCGCCACCGUGCCCGGCUAAUUUUUUGUAUUUUUAGUAGAGACGGGGUUUCACUUUGUUAGCCAGGAUGGUCUCGAUCUCCUGACCUCAUGAUCCACCCGCCUCGGCCUCCCAAAGUGCUGGGAUUACAGGCUUCUAUUUUCAAAAAAAUUAUUUUGUAGGAUAACGUAAAAUAGUAAUGAAAAGAAUUUACAUAGCAUACCUUUUCUGAAAAUGUGUUUUCCUGGUAUGUCACUGAACACAGGACAGAAACAUAAAAUUUAUGACUAAACUGUUAACAUCAUCUCUAAGGAGCUAUUAAAUUUGUCAAGGGUCCCUAAAUCUUUUUUCUUUUUUAAAUACAGAGGUAGUGCUGAAAUGCUAUUGCUAUUAGUUAUAAUGAAAUUUCGUACUAAAGAGUUUCCUUAGGUCUGUUCUCUGACCAGCUUUUCUAGGGCGAGUUAAGCAGCGACAUGGACUGUUCGUACAUCCUUUCUCAUUUUCAUUCUCUCAGAAGAAAUAUUCAAAUUAUUUUAGUCAUCUGAAUAGUAGAAGAAACACUAUUCUAAAAAGUUUUCUGAAGUAAAAGAAAAAUGUCACAAAAACAUUUGAGUUACUUAACUUGCUUUGUCCUAAAGCUAUUGAAUUAAGAAAGUUUCUCAUCUUUUAGAAGUAAAUUAUUUCAGAAUUAUAAAGGUACUGAUCAGGAAAUUAUGCUACUCCCAACACAUGACACCAGGUAAACUCAUUCUCAAUGAGAAGGGUUAAACCAUCAGUCACAGAAGAUUCAUACGCAGUAAAAUCAAUCUGCACAUUAAUCCCAACUCUUCUAAAACCCUCCAAUUUAAACCAGUUUUCCCUGGUGAAUAGCAAAGAGAGUCUCUUUCAGACACAUAAGUUGGGCCCACAAAGUGUUCACUUGUUGAAAGUGCUGGGGCUUUUUUAUUAUUUACUAAGAAGGUCAAGAUAGAAAUGAGCAGUCCUUCUGAGUUUCAGCAUCUUAGAUAAACCUACCUACCUCAUUCCAACAUCUCUCUUCUCCCCUUAUCUGAGAUGAUGCUAAGGGACUUUAGGGUUGGUUUGUUUUCACUCUUGACUUUCAAUCAAAUUUUUAAAAUCUAGGAAAAUGAACACCAUCUACCAUGCCCAAAUAUCCACACUUGCUUUCUUCUCAUGGCCUCUGAUUUCCAGCGUUAACUGUGAGGAAGAGCAACUGGCUGAAGAAGUACAAAUUUGCAUGGCAGAUGUCAGUGGAAACUUGUACUGAUGGUUUAAGCUACUUGGGCUAUGUUUUGAGGUUUUUAAAAUCAAAUUUAUUUUCCAAAGGACAGACGGGAUUUCUGCAGCAGAACUGUCACUACAACUGAAGCCAUCAGAACUUUGACCCUAAUUUCAGAUGGCACAAAUUUAGCCCCACUCACUCACCCGGCUGCCCCUGAUUCGAUCAUUUUGAUGGUUUCAUGCUCCUUGAUUUAGUUCCCAAAGUGAUACAAAAAAUUAAGGGCUUGCCCUCCAUUAAACCUUACCCUUUGUGAAUUAAAAAUACUUCUAAAAACAUAAUCAGAUUUUGUCACAUCUUGGUUUCAAACUCCUCGGUUUUCCACAACAUUUAGGAUAAAAUCCUAAAUCUCUAAUGCUGUUAUCCAGCAUUAUGUUAUUGGCCCUGAUCUACCCUCCUGACUUCUUUGCACCUCUCAAAAUCUUGCUCACACAGCUCUAGGCACACUGGUGGCCUUUGAGUUUUCUGGAAAAGCCAAGCUCGUGCCUGCAACUGUCUCAGGGCCCUCACACAAGCUGUUUCUCAACCUGUAAGCCCUCUGCCUUCACCUGAGUCACCUCUCUUGCUUAAAGUUGGAGGUUUUUCCUUAGCCCCCUGUCUAAAUAAGGUCCUGCUUUAAAUUCACUUAGCAUACUGUUUUUUUUUCCCUCUAAUUUGUGGGAUUUGUAACGUUGAUUUGCUCCACUAGAUUGUAUGCUCCGUGAGAGAGCAAGGGCCAUAUGUAUCACGUCAACCAUUGCCCAUCUAGCAUCUGGCACAGUGCCAGGCAUAUAGUAGGUGUCCAAAAAAUAUUGGAAUGAAUGAAAUUCUCGAGAAGUUCUCUCACUUUAGGGCCUUGGGAUCGAGGGCAGGAGUGUGCCUGUGACCAGCUGUCAUUAGUUCUAUUGACUACCUGUGGGAAAGCUGGUCAAGUGGCCACUUGCUCACCUCAAGACAAUGAAUGAAGCUUUCCUGGAUGCUAAGUGACUGCCACCUUGUGAGCUAAGCCUGGCAAGACCUUUGGGCUACACUUCCCUCCUCACUGUGAGCUGUGGCUUGGGCAGGCUCAAAGGGGCCCACUCACUCUGCAGAUGUGCCUCAGGGACAUGGAUGACUCUGCCAGCUGCACUUGAGGGCAAAAUAAUCAUUUACAGCUUCCCAGGUAAGGCUAACACUUACUCAACUGCAGUAACUAGAUGCCCCCAAUUUAAUAAAAAUUAGUUAAGAAGAAAAAAAAGCCUAGUUUUUUUCCUUUUCUCAAUUUGUCACCUUAUGUGAUAAAUCUUUAGUUCCAGAAAUAGCCCAGCAAAACAAAUAACUUAAUAUUGCCAACUUGUACACUUCAAAAAAGUCUAUUGAUAAGUGUAAAAAGUCAGAAUUCUUAUAUCUAAAGAAUAAUAAAGUAUCACAAUUAGUUUUCUAAUCAGAGAAUAGAAGGCAAAAUGGCCAGUAGGAAGACAAACUGGGUUUUUGAAAGACAUACUUUUAAAUUUGCCUGUCUACUAUGGGGGUUUAGGUGAGAGAAAAAAAGUAAAUUAAAAAGAAAAGAAAAAAAGAGCAUAUUUGUUUUCUUAGAGGAAAACAAACAAAUACAAAUGACAGUUAAAACCAAGAAACAACCUACAAUUUAGGCUGUCGCUUUCCAAAAAGUAUUCUAAUGUUUGAAGAAGAAAUUGUGGAUGUGGUGUGAGUCUCUCUCCAAUCCAAAUGCUGUCCCUCUAGGAAAUAUUUGCUGUUUUAUAUUACAGCAUCAUUACUGUGAUUCCCACAUUAAAUAACUACUAAAGUUUCAGUACUCCAGGCACUUGGUUGCCUGUCAAGGUGAUAAAUUAAUUCUGAAUCUGGGUCAAGAGUACAUAGAGUACAGGUCUGGCCCUGCUGAACCUAGAAAGCCCGUGUGGACUCUUCAUUUAGCAUUAGUCACCAUAAUCUAAGUUUGAUGGCUAUAUCUGUGUAGGGAGUUUGUUCUUCCCAGCUGGUGAGUGGAAUGAGGCCAGUAUGCCUUCUGUCCAGAUAAAUGACAAAUGACGAUCCAGUCUGGUAUGCAUGCCUGCCCUGCCCAUGUUAUUUCUUUCCUCAUCUCAAGGCUACACCUCUUGGACAUACACAUUGGAGGAAACAGAUGUCUGCUGUAAAAUUAACAAGAGCACUUCUACAUCCAGACAGUGAUGAAUAAACUCAAAGGAAAGGAAAAUCAUUUGGCAACCGGAAGGUGUGGGAGGAUAGCUGUAAAUGAAACUGACGGCAAAAAACAGAGCAGAGAAGUUUAAAGAAAAAAAAUAACAGCAUUCCUGGUGAUGCCCCAUUGGGCCAAUGAAACAAACACAUUCUGAAGCCUUUCCUAACCAGGAGCCAACCAAUCUCAUCACUGUGAAGCCAGAAAACCCUAUCUAUUGAAGAUGACUGCUUUCUUCUACUGUAGCUGGCAAUUUUAUGAAAUGAAGAAAAUUUGCUCUAGUUGCAAGUGACACACACCUCUUAAAUGUCUGCUAUCAAUUAAAAGUAAAAUACUGGUUACUUGCAACUAUCAAUUAGAUACAAUGCACUCCAGGAGAUCAGGAGCCUUGGCAUUCAGACAUAGGAGCAUUUUUUUGGCUUUGCCAUUUACUUGCAAUGUGACCUUGAUGAGAGAGAAGUUGAUGCUCAGCGAGGUGAAGUAAUUUGCCCAGGGUUAAGAUUCAAAUGCAAGUCUGGGGACCCUGAAGUCUGCUUCUUUUCACUGUGCUGCGUAGUGGCCUUAGCCUUUCCUUUCUAACAGAGAAGCCAAGACAGCAUACCUGUGUCUGAGUGCCCCAGUGGUGUGCACAUCUAUUACCUCAGGAAGAAAGAAUGUCUGAGGAGACGAAAUUUGCAAACAGUUACAAAGGACUGCACACACAAAUAUGAAUAAAGCCUCUUGAACACCAGA